UUUCAAAUGGCUAAGUCGGUCAUCAUCGGCCCGAGGCUGUACAUGAAGAUGGCAGAUGUGUUCUGGAUACCACAGUGCUGUAGGGUGCCAACAACCUUCAUAAGCUUUUCACCGGGGAUCAAGUCCCUCAAUUGCUUGGUAUUCAUGUGGAAUUCACUCUCUGGGUCAUGGAGGCCGCUGCCAUCAUUGCCAUUGCGCUAGCAAAAUGAGGGGGGAACCUACCUGAGUGGUUGGAUCACCCUGUUUGUUAUCAAGCAUCUGCUUCCUCCACCGUGUUUGCAUUGCCUCAACCAGAACUAGUCUGCUUGUUGUACAG
Long non-coding RNA from Triticum dicoccoides, 316 nucleotides. RefSeq lists it as uncharacterized. NCBI's taxonomy places the organism in Eukaryota, Viridiplantae, Streptophyta, Magnoliopsida, Poales, Poaceae. The transcript has 3 exons. The record is from RefSeq and is a predicted model, not a curated record.